CAGAAAACAGGACCAGUAGCACUGAUCGCUGCGAAGGCGAGAGGGCAUGAGCAACUAUGGCUCUGGUCUGUGGUUCAACCUCAGUGACGUUCCCCUCGACUUCAGCCCCAUCUCUUUCUCCUCACAAGAGCUCAAAUGCUAAAUCCUCGUUUCUUGGAUUCCGAUUGGCAUUAUCGAAGUCUUCUAUCUGGCCCAGUGUUCCCGUUAACUCCAGGGAAAGUCUUCAGGUUCGUUGCCUGGAUCUCUCCAUUGCUCCAAAAGAUGAACGAUUUAUGUUCGAGGAGUCCAAAGCCAAUGGCCCAGACAUUUGGAACAUGACCUCGUAUCCAAAAGCUGCAGAUCAUGUGAAUACAGAUAAACCAUGGUGCAUUGUUGAUGCUUCAGACAAAAUUCUCGGGAGAUUAGCAUCGACAAUUGCUAUUUAUAUCAGAGGGAAAAAUCUGGCAGCCUAUACUCCCAGCGUGGACAUGGGUGCCUUUGCAAUUGUGGUGAUUGCAGAAAAAGUUGCUGUAUCUGGGAAAAAGAGGACCCAAAAGCUUUAUAGGAGACAUUCUGGACGACCUGGUGGUAUGAAAGUGGAGACAUUUGCCCAACUACAGCAGAGAAUUCCAGAAAGAAUUAUUGAACAUGCUGUUCGUGGCAUGCUUCCUAAAGGAAGGAAAUCUGUUCACCCACCUAAAGGUUUUUAAGGGCCCAGAUCACCCACAUCAGGCCCAAAAGCCCGUUGAGUUGCCGAUAAGGGAUAAAAGAAUACAAAAGCCGAGGUAGACACAGCUGAGAUGUACAGAGGAUGAGAUAUGACAACAUACAAGAGUUCAUUCCAAGAAUCAGGAGCACCAGCUAGACACCAGUGACUACAGUCAACAUAAGAAGCACCUCGGCCUGUGAAGAUGGAAGGAUGGCCAUCAACCCUAAGCUGUGUGAGCAUGGUUAUGUCAAGCAAAUGAACUGGUGUGCUCAUGUUCCGCAGAAUGCUCUUCACUAUGUCAACGCCGGGAUACUGCGGCUCUGCCCCUUGCUCUGGCCGAGUUUUUCCCAGGC
Molecule: RNA transcript, 1041 nt
Organism: Prosopis cineraria
Lineage: Eukaryota; Viridiplantae; Streptophyta; Magnoliopsida; Fabales; Fabaceae
Gene name: 50S ribosomal protein L13, chloroplastic-like
Exons: 5
Source: RefSeq, a predicted model, not a curated record